This 303-nucleotide ribosomal RNA is filed under the name uncultured bacterium. RNAcentral's name for it is "partial 16S ribosomal RNA". It matches the Rfam family "Bacterial small subunit ribosomal RNA", at positions 507 to 809 of the family's 1533-position model. The record is from RNAcentral.
AGCAGUAGCCGCGGGAAUACAGAGGGUGCGAGCGUUAAUCGGAUUUACUGGGCGUAAAGCGUGCGUAGGCGGCUUUUUAAGUCGGAUGUGAAAUCCCUGAGCUUAACUUAGGAAUUGCAUUCGAUACUGGGAAGCUAGAGUAUGGGAGAGGAUGGUAGAAUUCCAGGUGUAGCGGUGAAAUGCGUAGAGAUCUGGAGGAAUACCGAUGGCGAAGGCAGCCAUCUGGCCUAAUACUGACGCUGAGGUACGAAAGCAUGGGGAGCAAACAGGAUUAGAUACCCCGGUAGUCCCUGUCUCUUAUCU